RNAcentral lists this antisense RNA (194 nucleotides) under Tatumella morbirosei. RNAcentral's name for it is "Yersinia sRNA 251". It matches the Rfam family "Yersinia sRNA 251". Rfam says of the family: Antisense to phoH gene. Trimmed on 5'end from the original size. Lineage: Bacteria; Pseudomonadati; Pseudomonadota; Gammaproteobacteria; Enterobacterales; Erwiniaceae. The record is from Rfam by way of RNAcentral.
CGUAAGCCAGUAACGUCCGUUGGCACAAUUCGGAACGGACACAGUCCUGUUUAUCAAAACGUACCAGCCCCACCAGGUCAUCAUCAGCAAAACGUGCUAAUGCAUCCCCCAGUCCUGAAGUCACGCCUGCCGGCAAAUCACACUGAGUAAUGUCUCCGUUAACGAUAACCGUCACAUUCUCCCCUAAGCGUGUC